This 458-nucleotide ribosomal RNA is filed under the name uncultured soil bacterium. RNAcentral describes it as "bacterial SSU rRNA". It matches the Rfam family "Bacterial small subunit ribosomal RNA", at positions 951 to 1384 of the family's 1533-position model. The record is from RNAcentral.
UAGUGAUUAACGCGAAGAACCUUACCUGGGUUAGAAUGCCUCUGACAGCUCCAGAGAUGGAGUCUCUUGGGUAAAACCAAGCAGAGUGCAAGGUGCUGCAUGGCUGUCGUCAGCUCGUGUCGUGAGAUGUUGGGUUAAGUCCCGCAACGAGCGCAACCCUUGUCAGUAGUUGCCAGCAGGUUAAGCUGGGCACUCUACUGAAACUGCCGUUGAUAAAACGGAGGAAGGUGGGGAUGACGUCAAGUCCUCAUGGCCUUUAUAUCCAGGGCUACACACGUGCUACAAUGGCAGGUACAAAACGCUGCAAACUCGCAAGAGGGAGCCAAUCGUCAAAAGCCUGUCUCAGUUCGGAUCGGAGUCUGCAACUCGACUCCGUGAAGUUGGAAUCGCUAGUAAUCGCAGAUCAGCACGCUGCGGUGAAUACGUUCCCGGGCCUUGUCACACCCGAAUCGAAUUCC